UGCUCAGAUUGAACGCUGGCGGCAUGCCUUACACAUGCAAGUCGAACGGCAGCACGGGUGCUUGCACCUGGUGGCGAGUGGCGAACGGGUGAGUAAUACAUCGGAACAUGUCCUGUAGUGGGGGAUAGCCCGGCGAAAGCCGGAUUAAUACCGCAUACGAUCUGAGGAUGAAAGCGGGGGACCUUCGGGCCUCGCGCUAUAGGGUUGGCCGAUGGCUGAUUAGCUAGUUGGUGGGGUAAAGGCCUACCAAGGCGACGAUCAGUAGCUGGUCUGAGAGGACGACCAGCCACACUGGGACUGAGACACGGCCCAGACUCCUACGGGAGGCAGCAGUGGGGAAUCUUGGACAAUGGGCGAAAGCCUGAUCCAGCAAUGCCGCGUGUGUGAAGAAGGCCUUCGGGUUGUAAAGCACUUUUGUCCGGAAAGAAAUCCUUGGUUCUAAUAUAGCCGGGGGAUGACGGUACCGGAAGAAUAAGCACCGGCUAACUACGUGCCAGCAGCCGCGGUAAUACGUAGGGUGCAAGCGUUAAUCGGAAUUACUGGGCGUAAAGCGUGCGCAGGCGGUUUGCUAAGACCGAUGUGAAAUCCCCGGGCUCAACCUGGGAACUGCAUUGGUGACUGGCANGCUAGAGUAUGGCAGAGGGGGGUAGAAUUCCACGUGUAGCAGUGAAAUGCGUAGAGAUGUGGAGGAAUACCGAUGGCGNA
This 705-nucleotide ribosomal RNA is filed under the name uncultured Burkholderia sp. RNAcentral describes it as "bacterial SSU rRNA". It matches the Rfam family "Bacterial small subunit ribosomal RNA", at positions 21 to 719 of the family's 1533-position model. The record is from RNAcentral. Lineage: Bacteria; Pseudomonadati; Pseudomonadota; Betaproteobacteria; Burkholderiales; Burkholderiaceae.